RNAcentral lists this ribosomal RNA (253 nucleotides) under uncultured bacterium. RNAcentral's name for it is "partial 16S ribosomal RNA". It matches the Rfam family "Bacterial small subunit ribosomal RNA", at positions 524 to 776 of the family's 1533-position model. The record is from RNAcentral.
UACGUAGGGGGCAAGCGUUGUCCGGAUUUAUUGGGCGUAAAGAGCGUGUAGGCGGCCAGGUAGGUCUGCUGUGAAAACUCGAGGCUCAACCUCGAGACGUCGGCGGAAACCAUCUGGCUAGAGUCCGGAAGAGGAGAGUGGAAUUCCUGGUGUAGCGGUGAAAUGCGCAGAUAUCAGGAAGAACACCCGUGGCGAAGGCGGCUCUCUGGGGACGGUACUGACGCUGAGACGCGAAAGCGUGGGAGCGAACAGG